AGUGAAGCGGGAUGAGCUCAAAUUUAAAAUCUGGCCGGUUUACUGGUCCGAAUUGUAGUUUAAAGAAGCGUUUUCGGUGGCAGCCUGGGUAUAAAUCCUUUGGAAUAGGGUAUCAUAGAGGGUGAGAAUCCCGUCUUUGACUCAGUGCAUGCUACUAUGUGAUACGUUUUCAAAGAGUCGAGUUGUUUGGGAAUGCAGCUCAAAAUGGGUGGUAAAUCUCAUCUAAGGCUAAAUAUUGGCGAGAGACCGAUAGCGAACAAGUACCGUGAGGGAAAGAUGAAAAGAACUUUGAAAAGAGAGUUAAACAGUGCGUGAAAUUGUUGAAAGGGAAACGUUUGACACCAGUCAUGCGGGCGGAAAAUCAGUCUUUUGUAGUGAGGAAGCGCGUGGGUUCAGACCGCAAGGCUGGCCUAUGUGUUCUCCCUGCUGCAAGUGAUGCACUUUUUCGUCUGCAGGCCAACAUCAGUUUCUUCUGCUGGACAAAACUCCAAGAGAAGGUAGCAGCUUAGGCUGUGUUAUAGCUCUGGAGCGAUACAGUGGAGGAGACUGAGGUUUUCGCAGCGUGUGCUCUCGGGCAAGGCGGAUUGGGUGCUAUGAGAUCGUUCGGCGUACAAUGCAUGCAUUUUGCGCCGUGUCCUUUUUAUACUCGCUCAACUCUGCUCUUCCACGCUUAGGAUGUUGGCAUAAUGGUUUUAACUGAUCCGUCUUGA
RNAcentral lists this ribosomal RNA (710 nucleotides) under Mortierella polycephala. RNAcentral's name for it is "eukaryotic LSU rRNA". It matches the Rfam family "Eukaryotic large subunit ribosomal RNA", at positions 92 to 657 of the family's 3401-position model. The record is from RNAcentral. Lineage: Eukaryota; Fungi; Mortierellomycota; Mortierellomycetes; Mortierellales; Mortierellaceae.